RNAcentral lists this ribosomal RNA (253 nucleotides) under uncultured bacterium. Its description in RNAcentral is "partial 16S ribosomal RNA". It matches the Rfam family "Bacterial small subunit ribosomal RNA", at positions 524 to 776 of the family's 1533-position model. The record is from RNAcentral.
UACGUAGGGCGCAAGCGUUGUCCGGAAUUAUUGGGCGUAAAGAGCUCGUAGGCGGUUUGUCGCGUCUGCUGUGAAAACCUAAGGCUCAACCUUGGGCUUGCGGUGGGUACGGGCAGACUAGAGUGCGGUAGGGGAGAUUGGAAUUCCUGGUGUAGCGGUGGAAUGCGCAGAUAUCAGGAGGAACACCGAUGGCGAAGGCAGAUCUCUGGGCCGUAACUGACGCUGAGGAGCGAAAGCAUGGGGAGCGAACAGG